AUCGUAGGCGAUAUGGUUCCACAAACCUAUGCUGGUAUGAUUGUUGGUGCCUUGUGUGCUUUGGCUGGUGUUCUUACCAUAGCGCUUCCGGUUCCAGUUAUUGUCUCGAAU
Sarcoptes scabiei is the source of this 111-nucleotide non-coding RNA. NCBI's taxonomy places the organism in Eukaryota, Metazoa, Arthropoda, Arachnida, Sarcoptiformes, Sarcoptidae. The record is from Rfam.